Molecule: ribosomal RNA, 198 nt
Filed under: uncultured bacterium
Lineage: Bacteria
Description: partial 16S ribosomal RNA
Rfam family: Bacterial small subunit ribosomal RNA
Source: RNAcentral
ACGCUCGACACCUACGGGAGCAGCAGUGGGGAAUAUUGCACAAUGGAGGAAACUCUGAUGCAGCGAUGCCGCGUGAGGGAAGAAGGUUUUCGGAUUGUAAACCUCUGUCUUUGGGGACGAUAAUGACGGUACCCAAGGAGGAAGCUCCGGCUAACUACGUGCCAGUAGCCGCGGUAAUCUGAGCGGGCGUGGCAAGGC